AUAAUCAAUUGUUUUUUAAUUGAAAACUGGAAUGAACGAAUUGAUGAAAUAUAAUUUGUCUCAGAAUAAUAGAAUUGAAUUUAAAUUAAGAGUAAAAAUGCUUUUAUUUAAUUAUUAGACGAUAAGACCCUAUAGAAUUUUAUAAAAUUUAUUUAUUAAAGAUUAUAUGUAUUAAAAUAUUUAAUAAAUAAUUAUAUUUUAUUGGGAGGAUAUUUAAAUUUAUAGAACUUUAAGAAUGCGCAAACAUUAAUUAAUGAGUAUUUGAUUAUUAUUAUAAUUAUUAGAAUAAAUUACCUUA
Molecule: ribosomal RNA, 298 nt
Filed under: Dolichovespula saxonica
Lineage: Eukaryota; Metazoa; Arthropoda; Insecta; Hymenoptera; Vespidae
Description: partial 16S ribosomal RNA
Source: RNAcentral